GGACUGGUGGUGAAACCGGAGAUCACACGUGGCUUCUAUCCAUGGGUUGCGGGUUCGAGUCCUGCCCGGUCCU
This 73-nucleotide transfer RNA is filed under the name Myxococcales bacterium. Its description in RNAcentral is "tRNA-Arg". It matches the Rfam family "tRNA". Rfam says of the family: Transfer RNA (tRNA) molecules are approximately 80 nucleotides in length. Their secondary structure includes four short double-helical elements and three loops (D, anti-codon, and T loops). Lineage: Bacteria; Pseudomonadati; Myxococcota; Myxococcia; Myxococcales. The record is from RNAcentral.